UCUGCUUCUGUCAUUUCACAACUUUCUUGUUCGAAGCUUAGCGAAACAAGUAUUUAAGUUUUCUUCCACGACGUCAAACUUGCAACGACUUACUUCCUUUCACCGAACGAUAGUCUCGUUUUAACUUCAUCGCCGUUUCAAAAUCGUUAUCAAACGUAAAAAGAAACGGCGAUCGAACUUUUGUUUUUCACAACGACUGAAGUACAAUAUUAACUUCGAGAAUUAUCCAUAGAUUACACAAAGCACGGAAUCCUCUUCCAAACUUCGUCAUGCUUUUGCGUGGUGUGUAAAAAAAAAAAUAAAUAAAAUAAUCAAAAAUUGAUCUACAUCUAGGUUUCUGGAUAUCAGAAAUAUCCUCUCUGAUUGGAAAUGCAUUUGGAUCGAUAUACUGUGUGCGAGAUGGUGAAAAAUUUAAAUUUUCGUGCGCGUUAAUUGUUGAUAAGAAUGAAUAAUUCGGAUAUCUAUAAAAGGCUGCCCAACCCAGUGAUCACAACCUUUCGCCAGUACGACGGUAAUUCCGAACGGGCUUGAUCAACGCAUACAAAAGUUUAUUUUGAAAAUUGUGCCCGAGCGAUAACACCAGUUCGAACUCAUAUCAGACGUCGGGUAAUACCGUCAAUCAUAGAGCUGCGCAUUGCCAAUCAUCCGUAAAGGUUGUCGAGAUUUGGAAGUAGAUAAGCAAUCAGCUCUAUGUUCAAGGCCGAACGAAGUACAGAACGAUACAAGUUCAUCGAUACUUUUGCGACUUUGAUCUGUCAGCAAUAUUCCCUUUCGUUUCGUUUCGUUUAUUCUAUUAACUGUUUUCAAUCAUGCAGGUUCCUGACAGUGGCUCCCCGACCUGUGCGCCCUGUACCCAGGAGGUACGUUUCGUUUCUGGAUCGGUUAAUACACAUUGAGAUUGUAUCACCUGGAACGAUCAGCGUACGUGGAAAAAUAAGUUUUAAACUGCCGGAUAUCGCCACAUCAACUUGACGAGAUGCAUCUUUAUUCUGACAGGUGUAGACUCCAUUCAUGGACACUGUUACAAAAAAUGAAAUAUCAUUAUCACGGAAUCGUCUGUUUGUCGCAGGCGACAAGAGAAAGUGGAUCACCCGAACAUUUCAUUCCAAUAUACUCGAAAAUUUCGAAAUUGUGAUGUCCGAGAGAGAAGGAAUAUUAAAGUGCAUAGAAUCAACGUACAAGGGAGAUGCUAAGAAACCCAUCGACGUGUUUAUUUUACUUGGAACACGAGAUAUGCAUUGGAUGUUAUUUGCGGUGAAUCGAACUCUGACAUGAAUCGCACCUGCAAUCUUAUGGUUUCCCGCUCGUGGCAUCAGCGGUCUGUUCUCUCUCGUGUUUGACGUCCAACAAACAACCAUUCGUCUUACGCUUGAUUUUUCAUUCAUCAUGAAAGAAAAACAAGUCCGGAAUUAUAUUGCCCUCGUGAAAGGGUAUUUCAACAAGAUUAAUUAUUCGUUCGAUUUUUUUUUUCAGAAUCUGCAACGGGGAUCAACAUCGCUGCUCGAACGAAUCCCGGCUCGGAUUAUUCUCUGGCCUUGCACAAGUAGUAGAGUCACUCGUUUCAAACCUCGCGAAAUCAUUAGACUGUUUGCGUCUAAUUCGGGGUGUCUAUUUGUAAAAAAACGACGCAAUUAUCCGAACUCCAAUAUCUCCAAAGAGUUAUCGAGGAAAUGCUCAGAUUAAAUAGAGAAUC
Molecule: long non-coding RNA, 1693 nt
Organism: Athalia rosae (coleseed sawfly)
Lineage: Eukaryota; Metazoa; Arthropoda; Insecta; Hymenoptera; Athaliidae
Exons: 2
Source: RefSeq, a predicted model, not a curated record